Molecule: non-coding RNA, 161 nt
Organism: Helianthus annuus (common sunflower)
Lineage: Eukaryota; Viridiplantae; Streptophyta; Magnoliopsida; Asterales; Asteraceae
Source: Rfam
UCACUUACCUGGAUGGGGUCAAUGGGCGAUCAAGAAGGUCCAUGGCCUAGGUUGGUGGCCUCCAUUGCACUCCGGAGGGGUGCCUGCCUAAGGUCGGCCCAAGUGGUCGAGCCUACAUCAUAAUUUGUGGCAGUGGGGGCUUGCGUUCGCGCAGCCCCUGC